UGUCUAACACACUUGGGAGGCAUGAAUGACUCAUUUCCAAUAGAUAUUUUGAACCUUUCGAGCUUUCUGGCCAAAAAACCUUCUGGUAAAAUACUGUCAUUUUUAACGUCAAUUUCUAGAGUGGUUAGCCGAGGUAAAUGCAUCAAUUCGUCAAGGCUAGCAUUACUUCUUUUGCUGUUUGCUCUUUCAACCUCCCAUUCAAUGAAGCAAUUACCCAUAUACAGCUCUUCUAGUCGAGUUAAGCUUGAUAUGAGAUUGGGCGCAAUAACUUUUAGAUGGAAACAAUUGGUUAAAUCUAACAAUCUCAACUUAUUCAAUUGACCAAGUUCUUCUGGCAACUGCAUAAUAUCAGACAUCAAAAAGCUAAGGACUUCUAGAUUCUUCAACUUCCCAAUGAUUGCUAUGUCCCCCAACGCACUUUGAUCCAGACAUAGUGUGUGAAGAUUUACUAGAAGAUCAAUUGAAGAUGGAAAAGAAGAAAACUGCAUUCGAGUAAAAUCCAGAACUCUAAGCUUUUUCAUCCCGAUAAAAAAGUUCCCAGGAAUAUUGAUUUCAAGAGAAGAAUCUUUGAGAGAGAUACAUAAAAAUUCAAGGUUUGGGCAUUCUAAUCCUUCAGGAAAAUGACGAUUACUAUCAUAUCUUAAAGUGAUAGCUUUGCAUUUUCGAAGUGCAUCCUCAUUUCGCCAGUCCCACACAUCCUCAUUUCCUACCAAAAUCCCAUGUUGGUCUCGGCAUCCAAUUGAUAUUGCGACAUCGCGAACAACAUCAUGCAUUGAAAAUUGUUCAUUGCUAUCCUCAAUCAACAAACAAGAGUUCCUAAGUUCAUGGACCAAUGCAUAUAAUUUGUCUCGCGCAUCUUCCAUCUUAUUGACUCUUUUAAAUAUACCCAAACCCAUGGAGUACUUAAACAAGUCCAAAGUAAGAAUACGGGUUUCCAUUUGACUACAGAGCAGAAAUAUUUUCUUGAGUUGCUCAUCUUUUAAAUGGUUGAAACUCAGCUCAAUACUUGAAUAAGUCUCUGCAGAUACUCCUUCGAAGUUGUCCAUUGAAGGCGUUCGGAGUUCUCCCAAGGAAACCUUCCAUCCAUGCAGACUCUUGCUUCUCAGUGCCAUUGCCACUGUAGUCAAGGCAAUGGGCAAACCUCCACAUGCCCUGGCGACGUCUAUUGCUGUAGAUUUCAACUCACGAUUUUCAACAUCAUCACCGACCAUCAUCUUAAACAAUCGCCAAGCUUCUUCUUCAUUUAAAUUGUUAAUCAAGAAGUUGUAAUCAAGAAGUUGUCUUUAGAUCCCAUUUUUAAGAGGACACUACGAUCUCUUGCUGUAAGCAGUAGUUUGCAGCCUUUAUGAUCUUCUCCAAAAGGAAUUCCAACAGUCUCCAAGUCAAGGUGUUUCCAGAUGUUAUCUAAAACCACAAGGAUCUUCUUCUCAUUUCUCAAUCGCUCAAAUAUUCUACUUGCUCUGCUAGAUUCAACUUCCUCGCGCAACUCCAGGCCCAACUUCUCGGCAAUUUCCUGUUGAAUCCUUUUUAUGUCUGGGAUUUGGGAAACCUCUGAAAAGACCACCAUAUCAAAGAGCUUGUCUUCCAUAGCUUGCCUGGCAACCUUCUUCACCAGUGUCGUCUUUCCAAUGCCGCCCAUGCCGUACACCCCAAUGAUGCUGACACUAACAUCGAUCAAUGCGUUUUUUAUAGCCUCCAAAGUAGAACUUCUUGAUUCGAAGGCCUCGUAGCCUUUGUGAGACUUGAGCCAAAUCUCCUCCGGAAUGGUACGGUAGGAAAUUCUAUCAUCAAAUCUCCCAGCUUCUUCUCGGAGUUUAAAAAGGGCCUCCUUCUCUGUUUCUGCUUUCUUUCCAUGCUGAUAGCGAGUAAUCCAAUUAGGAAACAGCCCCAUGAGACAUCGUUCAUUUGCUUUCUCUUCGUCUAGAAUGAAUUUGGCUGCCUCCUCAAUGCUCUUGUUCGCAUUAACCAGCCAUUUCUCAACCUUCUCUUCAAUCUUUUCACUUUUUCUUUCAGCCUCAGAAACUCUGCGCUGAAUGCUUUCUCUUUCAUCCUUGAGCCCAUCGAGUUCUGCCUUGAGAUUCUCAAAGUUGGCGGCGGAGUUAUACCAAUAACUAAAUUCGCGUUGUGCGUGAGGAGACAAGCAGUUUACAACUCCUGGAACAAUGCUUUUCAAAAUGUCCAUUUUUUUUUUGGGUUGGGGGGGGGGGGGGGAGGGAACGAAAUAGAAAUAGAACAGAGUCAACGGCCGCGCAAUUGAUAAUCAAGUAGAAGCAAAACAAGGCAAAAUUGAAAAAAGGGAAAAUCAGUGUAACAGAAGAGAAUCAAAGUGUUUUUGAGAUCAGAAAAUUGAAUCAAGAAAAGGGUUGCUUGAUCCAAUGAAAAUGCAAAGAGCUGAUGGAAAAAGGGAACAAAGAUAAAUAAGAAAACGGCUAGCACGAGCAGUGACCACGAUAAACAGAAGCAAAGUGUGUAUGAGAUCAAAAGACGAAAAUCAGGAGAGGUUUUCUUGACUGAGAAUUGAAGGCAAAUAGUAGGAGCUGACGAAUACGGGGAUCAAGAGGGAAAAACUGCUUGCUCGUAAAACUACUUUUAAGCGAAUCUGAUAAAAUUAUUUCAAUACUCGUGGGCGACUCCUUUUUAAACUGCAGAAGGAAAAAAAAAUAUUCUGAAUUUCAAUAUAUUAUUUUUUAUCCUAAUUUAUGUUAGGACUCGUAAUCUCGUCUUAAAUAAUUAAUUAGUAGAUAAUUUUUCCAACAAAUAUGUGUUGAAUAGAUAUAUUUCUUGACUAUGAGCAGGCUAGAUAUAUUUUAGCAUAGGAAUGAAAGUACAAGUUGUGUCAUAUUAUAAUUAUCAAUUGACCUAAAAAUGUUGUUGUGAAUUGAAAUUAUUUUUGUAAAAUAAAAGGAUUUGGGUCAUCGUUCGUUAUUUUCUGGCAAUAUUGUCUGGUCGUGACUAUUUGUUAAAUAUUAAAAAAAUAAAUUUAUAUUUAUUAAGUAUAAAAAAUAAAUAAACAAACAAAAAUAAAAGGAAAAGUUUAUACAUUACAUAAAAUAAUAAGAACAAUAUCAAUAUUUCACACUCCAUAAUUGAGUGAUGUGUUGUCCAACUGCCAUACAUUGGUCCCAAAUGGAGACUUAAAUAUUAAAGUCCAAAGUUAUUGUGAUGAUAACUUAUAAUCGCCAAACUUGACAUACGGGUAAUCAUGCAUUAUAAGGUGGUGAUUUCUUCCGAUCGGAACCUUAUUUUUCAUUUACAAAUAAAUAAAUGACGUGACUUAACGGGUGGUGGGGUCCUUUGUGCCAUUUGUGUAUUUCACUGAAUAGUUGAUUCAACUAUUCUGAUCGAAAGAUUCCUGGAAGUUGCCAUUUGCCAAUGCUACUAACAUUUUCAAACUUGGAAAACCCUUCAAUCAAGCUUUUAGUGGUAGGCUCUGGUAGCUUGGUUUGAUUAUGACAUAUGAUUAUUUGAUAAUAAAGUUAGAGGAUGUAUUAAUAUAAAAUUUGUUUAUUGGUGUUGAAGUUAAUUAUCUCAUUAAUAAUAGUAUAAAAAGUUAAUUACUAAGAAACACAUAGUAGUAUUCUGGGAUAUAAUUUUAUAUCAUAACUUUGUAAGUGUAUAAUUACUCAUUAAAUUAACAAAAUUAUUUUAAAAUAUUUAGUUAGAAAAAAUAAAUUAUAUUCUUUUUAUUUCAAAUAAUCUAUAAGUUAACUCAAAACAUAAUCAAGCUGAGAAUUAAAAUAAUGCUACUGUAUGAGAGGAUUUUUAUUUUUUCCCGAAGUUUCACAAGGAAAUUAUUGAUAUAUAGCUUUAUUCGGAUCAUCUCAGUUCAAACGACAAAUAAUUGAAAGACUAAAGUAAAUAGACCAGCCAACAACUUUGUACAGUAGAGUUCAAAAAUUAAGGUCAUCGUAUUGAGGUGUUCUGUCUUGAAAAGUACGGCAUAAUGAUAAAAUAAAAAUUAUUAGUCUUUGGUAAGAUAUGACUUUUAAAUAAUAAUUUCACAAAAAUACAAGGAAUAUUUAUAAAGUACUUCUAUAGUGAGGAGUCCCUCACUUUGUUAAAGUGAAAAUAUCAAUAAUAUACAAGAAACAUAUAUUUUAACACAUUAAGAACUGUAUCUUUUUAAUCGAUUGGUGUAUUGAAAUAUGUGUUAUUUAGUUUGUUAGUGAUAUCAUCACUUUGUUAAAAUAAUGAUGUCAGAACCAUUAUAUAUACAUAUAUAUAAAGUGCUUCUCUCCAAAAUUUAGACUUUAUUAAAAUUUAAGAAAGCAAAUAUAUUUUGUAUGGUAUAAUAGUGUAAUAACAUCACCCGAAUAUAUCAUAUAAAGUAAUAGUUUUUGGAACUUUAAUAAAGUUCAAGAUUAUAGAAUGAAUGAUUUAUAUAUAGAUAUUAAAUUUUUUAUCAUAAAGUGGAAGACAAAAGUAACAUAUUUUUCAAAUUAUAAUAAGUAUUUAUCAAAUAAUUUAACAUCGUAAUUUCUCCUAACUAGUGUAGUAAAUACGACCUAGGAGGUACAUUCAAAGCAUUUCAUAAGUUAAUUGUUAAUAAUAAAUGAUACAUGCAGCUCCAACCAUCAUUGUACGGUGAGUAAUUUCAAUAGAUUUUUUAUGGCUUAAUAAUAAUGAACUUGAAUGUCAAAAUAUUAAUGGCCAAACAGACCAGCUGCCAACGACUUAUUCCUCAGUCUCAUUUCUUAUUCUGUACGCAACAUUUCAAAGUUAAUCCAAAAACAAAAAACAAAAAUUAGUUCAGCUGACUAAAUUUGAAAGCAUGGAUUUGCCGUCGAUUAAAAAUCGUUUUGUAGGGAAAAUUUUUGGAUUGCAAUUUUCAUACAAUACAUAGAAUUAUCAUAAUCUAUUAAUUAUUUUUUUGCUUUUCUGUGGUAGUAAGUCCGACUCCUUAGUGACAAUUUAAAUUGAAAAAAUAAAAUCAUAAAUAAGAAUUAUUUGAUAAGAAUUAAAAUAAUUGAUAAAAAUUUGAGAGGAGCAAUUUUGGAAGAUUCGAUUUCUAAUAGAAAGGGAAUUUGAAUUUUACAGCCUUCGGUGAGGAAUCCAAAAUGCACAAUUUGAUGAAAAUUAAAUUUCAAUAGAAAUUGAAUUCCCACAUAUUAGUGAAAACCAAGCAAUAGAAAAGUGAAUGGAAUUUGAAUUCAUUUCCUUUCUCUCCCCUCCCUCUAACUAAACACCAUCGAAAUCCAAAGGUAUGGGUUUGGGAUUCCAUAUUGAUCAGAAUGGGAUUUGUCCAUAUUAUUAGGACCAAUUUUAAAAGCAGAGUUUAUGAUUGAAAUUAAUCCCAAUUGUUGAUUUCGGACUAGAUAAGAAUUUAUCUUGGAACUCCAAUUCUCCCAAUUAUUUUAGUUGGCAAUAUGUUUAACAUUAUUUUUUUAACAUUAUUAAUUGCAUAUUAUUUAAUUAUCAAUAUAUAAUAUUCUUUAAUUUUCUAAUUUUAUAGGAUUAGACACAAAAUUGAUUGUACCUUUUGAAAUUUAAGGGUUAUGUCAAUUGAAUAGAAAACUUGGAGUUAAACUUUUGGAUGUUUUUGUUGAUGAUCAAUUUAUGCAUGAAUUUUUGUACGUUUACUUUGGUUUAUUUUUAUUACUAAAACAUUUUUAUUAGUUUGAUUUAGGGUCAGUUUGGUAAUCCUGUAGCUUUUAAAGUAAUUACAAUUAGUUAUUGUUAGAGUGCAAUUUAUGCACUAGUUUUGCAUUAUUUACUUCCCUUAAUAUCAAUGUUUUGCACUUAAUAAUAGUGAUUUACUUGUGUUUUACUUUUGUAGGUGCAAUUCUAUUGAUUGAUGAUAAAAUUGAGUUAUAAGAUGAUGUUUAAGGAUGAUUGUUCUCUUGGAGAAAUUAUGAGCGUCAGAAGAACUUUGUUGAUAAGGCGUGGGCGCGUGCUGUCAACUGCGGACCUGCAGUUUUUAGUUUAACGUGUUUUAUAUUUUUGGUUAUUUUUGUAAUUACGAAUUUAAUAUUUCAGAUAUUAGGAUUUUAUUUUAAAUAGAAUUCUAAAAGAGAAGAGAGAGAGAGUAUUUAAGGGAGGAAUCUAUUGUGAAAAAGGGGGAUUUGGAUUGGAGAAAAAGAAAGAAACCCUAGAUCUAAUUUUUCUCUUCUCUCUAUGAAGAGCUAAACCUAUUUUUCUGGUUGAAGGAUAAUGAAGCUUUGAUUCAUCACUACUGUGAGAUCUUUCUUAUGCUUUAAUUGUUUUAUUACUUUUUGGGUAUUUGUUUAUUCUCUGAAUUAGUUUCAUGAUUAUGUUUGUUAAUUAGGUAAUUGGCCACUAUUUAAUUAUCAACUUAAUCUAUUGUCAAUUAAAGGAUUCAUCGUAUGAAGAAUUUAAUGUUUGUGACAAAUAACAUAGCAGAGAGUUGUGUUGUGAGAAUAAACAAUCUAAUUUAAAUGAAUCAUCAUAUGUGUUGAUUAGGAUUUGAGUCUCUCUGGUUUUUCAGGCUGUCAAUUGAUUAAAUCCUAUGAUCGUAUCUAGGGUUGUCCAUUGAUUAGGGAAAUAACCAACGGUCGUACCUUGGUUAUCGACUAGUUAAGGAGAGAUUGGCUAUUAGAGGGUCUCAAUAGCUAUAACUGAUCUAUUCAUAAGUAAUAAUAAUCUAUAUUUGAAUCAAUGAUUAGUAGUUGAAUCAAGCUGAGUUAAUUCCUUCAACCAGAGCUUUCUCCAAUUUGAAUUACAACUUUAAUUUGUAUUCUUGUUAUUUUGAUUUGAUUUUUAUUAUUGUCAACAAUUCCCCCAUUUUACGUUUUACGUUUCAAAAGGAUUUAAAUAAUUACCGAUCUCUGUGGACACGACCCUGCUCAAUCACUAUACACAAUUUAUUUAGAGUAGGAAUUUAUUUUUGUUGGCUUCGACAACCAUCAGUUAUGCUGUAGAAUUGAUCAAUCGUGAAGAGAAUCGGCUGAACAUUUAGUAAAAUUUAUUUUUAAAAAUACUUUUAGUUAUAAAAGCAGUCGUAUGUGUUUCAUAAAUCUUAUUGUUAAACUGGUGCAAGAAUAUAAAUGAUUGAAUUGGACAUAAUGCUAAAUAAAAUUUAUUUACAAAUUUAUGAACAUGUAUAUAACAUAUUUUUAUUAUGUACAUAUAAUUAUUGAGAACUAAAAUAAAGAUUUUAUAUUAUUAAAUUUUAUUCUCUAUUUUGUUAUCUCAAUAUAAUUGGUAAUUAUAAUAAUUUUUUAAAGUUAACGAUUUAUUUCUUAAUUAAUAAAGAUAAUUUUUUUAUUAUAAAAUGAGGAUAUAUAUAUAGAAUUGGAUUACGUAUAAAAGUUAUUCUCAAAAUCAAAAUUUGAAAAACUAUUCUUUCCCUACUUUUUAAAAUCUACUGUAUGAUAAGAUGAUUUUGUCAAAAGUAAUUACUAAAAAAAUUUAUAAAACACUAAAAAUUAACUUUUAUUUUUUAAAAUCACUUUGAGCAUCCCAAAAACAAUCCUAAUGGACCUUCUGACCUUCAUUUGGGUGGUGUUGGAACUUGUAACUUUUGGAUCUUUUAGUUUUUAUUGGUUUGAUACAACUGUUACACUAAAAAUUAAAUGUAUCUUAAACCCCAAACUUCUUCUUCUUAUUCUUUUUUUAUUGCACAAAAUUAAAAACAAUAGUGAACACAUUCUUUAAUAAACAAUAAGUAAUAACUACAAUUGUGUUAAAGAAUUUAGUUGAUACAUAAAUUGAUUUCAAUGUUGUAUAUGCUAAAUUUCUUAAAAAUUUUCUUUCGCUAAAUACUUUUAUUAGUAUUUUGAAUAAAUAAAAAUAAUUGAUUUAAUUUUUUUAAAGAAACUUAUUAGGUUCAUGUAAAGAUUUUUUUUGUUAUUUUAAAAAGUGUACGAAGUAAAACUUACUUUUUAAAUGUAUUAGAUGUGUGCAUAAAAUAAUUAAGUGUUCAUAGUAAUUUUUAAAGUAUAGAUAGUCAGACCCUAAUAUUUUUCAUAUACGGGAAUUUUGCUAAUAUGUUAAUGAGAAUUAAAAUGAUAAUUAAGAGAGGCAUUUGAGACAUUCAAGAUAGUUAGGAUGGGACAUGAUUGUGAGGGGUUUGAGAUUGGUCCUAAUUUUGAUCACAAAUAUAUAAACAGGAGGAGUUUAUCCAUACUUACAUUCCAUUUGAUAAUUAAGAUGAGAGUGGAAUUUUCAAAUCCCAAAUCAUCCCGGACCAUUGCCACCAAAGGUACUCUCACUAAUAAUAUCUAAAGAAAAAUCUACAUCUGUUUCAUGCCUUUUUUUUUUUUUAUUUAAUGGAAGGAGCCCUCAUGGGGCUUGAAAUGGUAUCCUAAAUAAUAUUAAGAAUAUCAUGUCAUGAUUGGUUUCGUGACAAACAAAUAUCACAUGGUUGGGAUACAUAGUUACUAGUGUCCCAAUUUAUGUAGUAUUUAUCAUUUAGUGCACAUACAAAGUAUUAAUCAGCUUAACUAAUUUAUAAAAUUUAAAUCUAAUUAAUAAGUGACGCAUAAAUGCCAAGUGCAUUAUAUGCAAAUCAUGUUGUCGAUCACUACAAAUCUGGCUCUUGAAAACAAGAAAGGAAGCUUAAUUAAGAACUUAAAACAAAAAGAAUUAGAUUGAUAACAAUCAAGCCUUAUUUUUUCAAGGAUGGAGCUUAUAAAUCUUCAAGUACCAACAUAUGCUUGGCCCAAUUGUUGUUAUUAAAAUUUCAAUAUAUAUAUAUAUAUAUAUAUAUAUAUAUAAGUAUGACAUAGCAACAAUUUGAUGGUACAUAUGUCGGAUUAUUGUUUGAUUAUUGUUUCCAUAAAUUUGAACCAGGAAGGGUGAUACGAUAAAAUUUGAUUUUAUUGUAUGGUUGAUUUCAUAUCUCAUGCACUCAUUUCUUACGAUAAUCAAAUUUUCUCUAGCAUCUUUUGCAACUGUGGAUAUAUCAAUUAUGAUCAAUAAAAAUGAUUUCAAAAUCUUUCAACGAGACAUAUUUAUAAUACAAUAUUGUUAAAAUUACACCAAAAAUUUAAUUUAUUAUAUAUUAUUAUCCAAUGAGCACACAAAAAUGAAUUCGUACAAAUCUAAAAUACUUGGCAAUUUUCAAAUAGAAUUUACUAAGUAAUGCAAGAGAAUAGGGUAUAUGUGACCCCUAAUGUGAAUGCAAAAGCAACCCUUGCGUAUAUCACUAACUUCUAACUUUGUAACCCCGAGUUGCUUUUGUUACCCUUUAUGUCACGGCUACACUGUUAUCACAUAUGUUCCUAACUAGGGAUGGCAGAAAUUCUCAUGGGGUGGCCUCUCAGGAAUUUUUUUCAUUUGAGGAGGGUAUGUGGACGAUUUUAUACAUAAUUUCUUAUUCGGGGAAGGGAUGAGAAUGAUUUUUUACCCAAUUUCUUUUUCAGGAAAGGGACGGGGAUGAGCCUGAAUCCCCAUCCCCUCCUUAAUUCCCCAUUUUUCCAAUUUGAUUUUUAAUUCUAAUUUUAAUUUUUAGAAAUAGUAAUGAAUAAAUUAUAAAUUAUAAAUUAUAAAAUAUUAAAUAUUAGUAUAAAUAACAAAUAUAAAAAUAUUUAUACAAAUAUACUAUGAAAUUUUCAGACCCAACUAACAAAUUGGAGUUCUAUAUUACUAUUUGAUUAGGUCUUAUUUAAAAGGCCUUUGUCUAAAUUUUUUUAUUUUUAACUUUUAUCUAAUAAAACAAAAAUUAUACUAAAAACUAAAGGUAUAAUAUUCAAACUUUACCAAUAUAUAUUGUCAAAUUUUAUUUUUAUUUAAAUUUUUUAUUUUAAUAAAUUAAAUCAAAUUUAUAAACCAAAAUAUAUUAGUUAUUUAAGGAUUUUUUGGGAUCGAGAAUAUUAAGAUCCCUUUUUAUUAUUUAGGAAAUGAAUAAGAAUUCUUUUAAAAAUACUGAUGGAGACGAAAAAAGGAUAGAGACAUACGGGAUAUCAGUCACCUCCCCUACCCCAUUAUCAUCCCUAUUACUAACCACAAGACCGUAAAGAGCCGUUCGGUAUACUAUUCUAUUUGAAAAUUGCUGAGUAUUCCAGUUAGAAAACUGUUCGCUGGACUGCGUGUUACCAGCCACCAUCGCAAACCUAACUGGUUGCCGGCGAACGGCGUAAAACACAGGCCAUCUUCUUCAUCGUAUUCUCCCUUUAUCUUUUGAGGUAAGCUUGUGAUUAUGAGUCUCUUCUCUUACUUAGCGUGUAAUUAUAGAUUUUGAUUUUUUUUUAAUUCGUAUUGUAACCGUUUUGUCAAUUUGUGUCCCGCCAGCAAUAUUUUUUUAUUCUUACAAGUUGAAGCCCCCGUGUUCUUGUUCCAUUGGUGAGUUUGCUCACUCAAAUUAAUUUUUUUCUGCGGAAUUUACAAUGUUCAAAUGGAUUCAUUUGAAUUACUAUUGAAUUUAGCUUUAAUUUCAAUAUCCAUUCUAAUGUUUUGCUAUUAGAUUUACUUUAAUUUUAUGUUUAAAGCUUCUACAGUGAAUAGCGGAGCUUGGGUUUUAGUUUCAUUUUCUAGAUAACUUGUUUUAGUUUAUCUUGCAUGCUCACCAAGUGCUUGUUAUAUUGUCUGAUAAGUUAUAUACAUUGCUGAUUCUAUAUUAAUAGUGUUAUGUUCUAUUUUCAGAAAUUAUAAUACAAAAGUUUUUACAGUGGCGUGCAUCUACAAACUGAAUUGACUGGUAGAAUAAGAGCUUGGAGUAGUGUUAUGUUCUUGAAUAAAUGAAAGUUCAUAAUGUGUAAGAGCAUGUAGAUGUAAGGCAUCGUUACCAUUUCUGCAAAGUGCUUUCAUUCUGUUCGGAUUCUCUUCUUGAACUUUGAAAGGUGCCUCGUUCAAGUCCUGGCUAUAACUACUAGCUUUGACUAAUUAAGUUCCUAUACUAGCUGAAACAGAUUUAAUUAAUUAAUUAAUUAUGUAUGUACUAAUUAUAUUGAAAGUAUAUGAAUUUUUUUUUUUUUAACAUGAAUGACUUCUAAAUGACUUAAAAACCUAAAGGAUAUGUGAAAUAAUGCUCAUUUCACUUGAAUGAGCGUAUUACUACUUUUAUGUCUAUGAUUGUCAAUAUUGGCAUAAGCAUUUCAGUUAAGUGUUUUACCUAACAGAGAAAAAAAUUUAAUAGAAAACUUCAGAGUUCUAACACAAAUAUAGUUCACCAUGCAGAUAUAGUUAUUUUACAGAAUAGAAUUCAAGUUGUCCUAAUCUUAAUGUCCUAUGACCGAUUUUAUUUGAUAUGGUCAUUAGUGUUUGCCAUGGUUUUUUGUGUUUAUGAGUAUGAAAUAGUGGGAUUUGGUGUACCUUAGCAUCUUUUGGAAAUUCUCUUUAAGUGUGGCCAACAGAAAUAUACAUAUAAUCAAGUUUCUUAAUCCUAUAUAUUAGUUUUGGGUAUGAAUGUUCCUAUUCUAGUUCUAGGGAAAGCUUCUUCGUUUUGGUCUUCAGAUUUCCAGUAGAUUAAGUUAAUCAACUAUCAUAACUGGCUAGCUAGUUAUUGUCUGCCUUGGCGCCAUUACCCAGGCCAUUAUAUUGCAUAGCAUAAGGAAUAGUGAUUAGGUGAUUAUUAGUGAUUUGUUGAGCUUGUUAUUGGCCAAACAAACAUAUUCGCCUUUGCCCACAACUUAGUUUGAUUAGUUAUUAGACCACAAAGAGCCUUGAUCUAUUCAUUGGCUUUAUUAUUUUUAUGUGGUUUUUCUUUCAACAAUAUUGUUGAUUUCUUAUAAAAAUAUUCAUUGGUUUUUAAACACCUGAUCAUUGGCCAUACGAAGCUAAUUAAAACUGAGGCUUUGGAUCAAUUUCUUCUAACAAGAUACAAAUGAGUAUAACCUAUCUCCUCUAAGUAAAUUUUUUUAAUAUCCUUGAUUUGUAAGGAUCUGGAGGCCUGAAAUCCUCUAGAUUUUUUUUUAACACUGUCAAUGUUCUUUUUAUUCUGAAAAGGAAAUAAAAGGUUUUAUCUUUCAUGCCCUAAUAGUAAGCUGCCCUUGUCUUAACAUGGCUUCCCGAGGAUUUGCAAGAUUCAUGGUGCCCCCCCCCCCCCCCCCCCCAAACAAAAAAAAAAAACACACACACACACAAAUAGGAAGGAAGACUUGGGAAGAUUCACCACCAGUUUUUUUUUAAUUUAUUAAUUGUGUGUACGUACUAGUUAUAUGUUGAAAGAAUAGGGAGAAGUAUUUCAACAUGAAUGACUUAAAACUUAUUGCUCAGUAAACAUAAUCUGCAUCAGUGCGAAAAUGUAUUUAUCGUUUGUAUUUUUUAUGGUUUUGCUUAAGAAAUGAUAUGUGAAAUAAUGCUACAUUGUAUCAGGAAUAAAUUGAAGAAAUUUAUGAUAUUUAUGUGUUAUUCAAAUUUCAGAUUCAAUUUUAAACUUUUGAUACAUGCAUUGAAAGCUCAGACUUGUUUAAGAAAUUAUUAAUAGACACAUGUUUUAUUAGUGUCAUCUUUGGAUGAUAGUGAGGAUCAUACGUCUAUUAAUAAUUCUUGAAUUGUCCAGGCUUGGACAGUUUGGGAAUGCAUAGUUCUCUCUGGUAGCUAGUAGCUGAAAUUUUUUUCCCACAUAAAAAUGGGAUUUUGGUAGCUGCUCUCUCUGGGUACGUACUAGGUGAAUGGGUGUCAUGUGUUGUUUUGGCAUAACGCAUAAAUACUUAUAUAGCUAUGUCGUGUGCUUGGAGAAUUAUAGGAAGAUGGUGCCAAAAUUUUUAUAAACGUAGAAGAAAACUUUAGGUACCCGAGAAUGAAGAAACUUAUGCAUUCUUGAGUGGGAUAUGUAGGAUUACUUACCUUUUGUAAAUAUGAAUGGAAUGUUGGAUGAGGAUAGUGUAGGAGCUGAGUUGGAUGAAUGUAAUUGAUGAUUUUGCUGAGCUGACCUUGGUUUUGAGCUUGUAAUUUUGUUUGUAAAUGGAGUGCUAUCUCCAAUGUUGGUUUAUAAAAAUGUUUCAGGACUUGCUGACCUAACUUUUUGUUUCUAGGUUACAGGCUUUAUAUAUCUGUAAUUGAUGGCCAAGUGAAGUUCUCAGCACUUGGCGAGGAUAUUUCUUUACAGACGGUAUUGGAAACUGUUUUUUUACAUAAAUUAUUGUUGUAUGUGUACUUUGAUUUUCACAUCUUUUUCUCUGAUUCUUGUGGCUUUGCUUGCUUUCAUAUGUGUAAAUUCUAAUGAAAUUAACGAUAAAAUUGUAAAAUGAUCUUUUUUUUAUAUUGCGAAACUCUGCAAACACGAAAAUAUCUUGUUUAGUAGUAGAAAUGAAGAACUAAAAUGAUUUAUUUAACUAAAUUUUGUAGUGCAUUAAAAGGAGAAAGUCAUGGACAAGUGUUGGGUUGGUUUGCCAAAUAGAUAUCCAAGUCAUAUACUGAUGGGGUUGAAAAUUUUAUAGAUUUUGCAUUUGAGAAUGUUAUUGGUGGUACAAGAAUUUAUUGUCCUUUUAAGAAGUGUUGUAAUCUAUAUUUCGUUAUAAGGGAAGUGGCUGAUGAUGAUAUGGUUGGAAUGAUACCCUGCAUCACGUGCUUACACGCAGCAUUGUUAUGGACUAUCAGUGACUUUCUAGCAUUGGCAACUUGUCUGGGUGGAGUAUUAAAGGUAAAUAAACACGUCUUGUUUGCCAACAAAACACUAGAUCUAAUUGGUUGAUACAUAGUAGAAAAUUUUGUCACGUGGGUCACCGUCGAUUUUUACCAACAAAUCAUAGGUUUCGAAAAUAUAGUGUCUUUUGAUAAAACUAGAGAGUAGGGACCAGCACCUUCUCGGUUGUCUGGAACUGAAGUGAAAAAGCAGUUUAAUAUACUUACUGAGCAUACGAUUGAAGACUUGAAAAGAGGAGAACGAAUUAAAUGAGAGAAAUGAUAAGAUUACCUGGAAGAAGAACAGCAUUUUUUAUGAACUAACGUAUUGGUUUUUGAUAUCAUGAUCUUGAUAUCAGGCACUGCUUUGAUUUUUGUUAUGAACUCAGAUCAAAAGUUUAAUGUGAUCAAAACUUCUUAAAAAUAGUGACAACGACUCCUCCUAAUAACAUUGAAGAUGGCUAUAAAAGAUAAAAGGAAAGGAUUAAAAAGAAAAGCUACGCCUGUUUCAAAAAAAAAAAUGGCGGCAUCAAGUUUAUAACAAAAAUCAAAACGGUGCGUUUGAAAGUGUAUAAAAUACAUUUAGAGCGGGAGUUGCGUUGUUUCUUGAAGGCAGAAUGUUUGUGAGAUUUUUGUCGACGAAGCCAAAACCAAAGAUGAAGCCCAUAGAGCUCAAAACUCCACCGGAGCAAAUUCAGACAAUUACGAGGGUUAUAUUUGACAUAGUCAAGGAAGACGGUCCUCUCACCGUCGCCGAUUCUUGGGAACGCGUCAAGGUGUGUGUAUCUGUUAAAUUGAAUUUCAACCGUUUGGUCUGUAAUUAUAAUUAAUCCUAUCGAUCUGACAGUGAUGAUUGAUCAUAAUACUAGUAGUUGUUUUACAUUUUCAACAAGCUGGAGUGAGUGGAUUGACGGGCAAAAGCCACAUGAAGAUCGUGUAGAGAUGGAUGAGGGAGAGACAAAAGCUCAGGCUCGUCUGCAACCAUGUGGGCCCUCAUUAGCAACUCCUGUACACAGCUAGGCUUACCAAGCCCAACAACUUGAAGCAGGCAAAGUCAGGGAAUGACCCUUCCCCUUCACAACCCUAGCUGCCUUAACCUUGUAUCUCUGAUAUUUAGUUAAAGAGUAAGAAGAUUGCUCCUCUGUCAAUUACCUUUAAGAGAGACUUUCUUUCUCAUUCAUUGAUGCUUGCUUGUGAACGCAAGGGUUUUAGUUACACUUUCAACGCUGUCAAUGUAGUGACACGAUGAAGAUGAAGUAAAGCAGUAGUAGAAUAAUGAAGUUGGAAGCCCCACAGCAUGAAAACUUUUAAACAGUAACACAUCUUUUAUUCCAGAGGCUGCACACGAGUGACCUGAAUCUUCUUCAGAACUUUCAAAUUUUAUUAAGCAAAGCUUUCAAAAUUUCUCAACAAAUUGAUUAUUUGGUGUGGUUGCGGCAUUUUGAGUAACUGCGAUUUGUUCUCAAGUACAAAAUCCUUGCCUUCCUAAGUUAGAAAAGAUAGAUGUGAAGCAAACCAAAUGAAAUAAAUGGGUAAACAGAACAAACAGGGCGAAAAUUAAAAAUGAUGGCAAUUAACAAAUUAAUAGCAACGUUACAUUUGACUCUUUAGCCCUUUGUUCCUUCUCUUAGCAUUCUUCAAAGUUUUUGAAAAUUGGAAGUGAAGCAAACAAAAUAAAAUAAAUUUAGACAACACAUGCCCUGCAUUCAGCAUCAUAUAUAUCUCGAAGACUAGAAUUUCAAACAGUACUAGUAGUAAAAAAAUGACGACAACAACAAAAAUAGAAAAUUACAAGACUGCUGAUAAAAUUUCAUUUGCAUGCAUGUCUGACAAAAUUUCCGUGAUUUAAUGUGCCUUCAUGCACGCAAAUCCUAACGUUUCUGUGAUCACAAAAUGAAACUGGAGAUAAAUCAGAACACCUACCAAACCUUUGGCUGAAAAUUCAGAAGAAUUUAUAUUCAAGAUGUCAAAGUAAACUGGAAAUUUAUGGCACAUAUAGUUAAAUUUGCUAUAAAUUGCUUAUGAACAGCAAGCAGAGCAUAAAUCACAAAAGCUUUAUAAAAGAUAACGACUUGAAUAAAUGAUUACAAGCUCAGGUUCAUUUAUAUACGGAGAGAAGAAUAAAGAGACAGCAGGCCUAAGGGGUAAGAUUUGUAAAUGAACAAAUAACAACCCGUGAAUAUGACAAAUGUUAGCCAAUCAUUUUCAGCUUCUAGAAACGUAAUCCUUGCAUGCUAAUUUGCUGAGAUUCUUCAGUAGCUCCAUUUUGCCAGCUCAGUAAAUCUUCUGCACAUUCUGGAAACAAAUGAGUGUAGCUUGAGAUGGCAUGCCAGCUUGUCAUCAGAGUCAGCUGUUGAAUUCUCACAGCUGCUAUUUUCAUCACCCUCUCUCAAACACAAGGUCUUGUCAAAGACAUUGAGUUUGCUUCUGAAGUAGUCAAAUUUAUAGUAUGGCAGAGGCUUGGUUAGAACAUCUGCAGUUUGAUCCUUGCUGGCAACAUAAGUUAUUUCAAUUUCACCUUUCAUAACUUUAUCUCUGAUGAAGUGAAGGUCAAUCUCGAAAUAUUUGGUUCUCGAAUGGUAUAUAGGAUAUGUAAAAGCUUCUUGCCAAUAUUUCAAUGGCAUUUUAGCUUGAGCUAGCAGUGUGAGUCCAGUUUCCACAAUGUGUCUGUGUUUCCUCUCAACUUUGCCAUUUUGUUCAUGUAAGUAAGGGCAAGAAUGUCUUAGAGCUAUUCCCUCUCUUUUAAGAUAUGGUUCAAAGGCUUUGAAUCCCCCCCCCCCCCAUGUCAGUUUGCAGUGCUUUGAUUUUCAAGUUUAGUUGAUUUUCUAUUUGCCUUUUGAAAGCAAUGAAUGUGUCAAGAGCUUGAGAUUUUGUUGUUAUAGGGAAGAGCCAUGUGUAUCUGGUUCUGUCAUCAACAAAAGAUAUAUAAUAUCUAUAUCCUUUUGUUGAGGGGAUUGGUGCUGGUCCCUAUAAGUCUGUAUGGAUCAAUUCUAAGGUUGUUUUGGUUCUGGUCUCAAUGUUCUUGAAUUGCAUUUUUGAUUGCUUUCCAUAUUGGCAUGCACAACAAAAUGAAGGGAUGAUAUUUUUAUUUAUAGCAAAGUGUUUUUCAAAGCAAAUACAUUAGGAUGCCCUAGUCUAAGAUGCCAAAGAUCAAUCUCUUUUGUAGCUUUUGAAACACUGCUGUUUAAUUCAUCAGUUACACUAGACUCAUUAACACUGAAAGACUCAUUACUAUUAGAACUAAAGGACAACAUAGAUACUGGAUCACUAAUGGACCUUAUUGACACAGGUAUUAAAGAUGCUGAUAGGAAAGUAGUGUGUAAAUUUUUGCUUUUGCUCAAGUGAACAGGUAAGCAUAGCAGCUCAUACAGUCCCUCUCUAGCCACUCCUUUCAUCAGAAUUUUCCCUUGCUUCUUGUCCUUGACAAAACAGGCAAAUUUGUGAAACUCAACAUGAAUGUCAUUAUCAUGCAGCAAUCUGGAAAUGCUAAUAAGAUUCUUAGUAAUGUCAGGAACAUGCAACAUAUGGUUUAAUGUGAUGUGUUUUUUAGGGUUAAAAGUAGGUAAAACAGAACAGCCAAUAUGAGAUAUCACAAGUUUCUCACCAUUGCCAACAGCAAGUUGGUCAUUACCUUAAUACUCAGAGUUGAUGUUGAUAUUUCCAAGUGCAUUUGUGACAUGGUUAGUAGCACCACUGUCCAGAUACCAUGCUCCACUACUUUGCCCAUCAGUUGAGGCUACAUAGGCACCUCUUGUUUCUCUCCUUCUGUUUGGCUAGGGUACAAAAUUCUUCUUAAAUCUAUGCCAACACUCAGCAGCUGUAUGUCCCAUUUUCAAACAGAUUUGACAUGGCCCUUUGGAUUCUGAACCAUCAUCAUUUGCUAUUGCUUUGCCUUUUCCCUUAUCUUGAGGAUUUUGACUUCCCUGAUUGUUUCCAGUUCCACCACUAGGGUUUCUAAACACUAUUCCAGGUUGAUAUUGAUUUCCAGUUCUGUCAUUGUUACCCCAGUUUCUCCUUCCAUUUCUCAUUUGAUUGUAGUUUGCCUCAACAGCCCCUGAACUUAAAUUUUGUUCAGUUCUGUUCUCUUGGUUGAGCAGCAUGCCAUACACUUCUGAGAGUGAGGGGCUCUCUGGCAUAGAGUUUAUGUUGGUGACUAUUGAGUCGUAUUUAGCCCCUAGUCCAGCCAACACACACAUGACAAAGUCGUCAUCACUCAUGUGGUUACCUACUGCUCUAAGCUGAUUCAACAUGGACUUCAUUCUAGAGUAGUAGUCAUGGAUGUUGAGUGAACCCUUUUUGGUUGUUUGGAUUUGGGUUCUGAGGUGUAAUAUCCUGGCUCUAGUUCUAGCACCAAAUUGGUUUGUGAGAUUUGUCCAAACCUCAUACGAAGUAUAAUAAUCAAUCACUGUGCCUAGAACCCCUUCACUCAGGGAUGACAGUAACCAACUUAGUAAAAUGUGGUCUUGCUUUUUCCAGAUUUGAUGCUCAAGGUUAGGUGUAUUUAUGGUGGUUCCAUUUGGUCCUGGGUUUGUGAAAUGUCUUGGAGGGCAGACAUGGCUGCCAUCAACAAAACAUUCAAGCUCAUUAGCCCUGAUGCUAGAGAUCACUUGUGAUCUCCAGAGCAUAAAAUUGUUUUGGGUGAGCUUCAUGGGAGUUGUAAAGACAUAUGUGUUGCUAGUAAUGUGUUGUGUGGGUGAGUGAUUAAUUACUGCUGAGUUUGUGGCAUUGUGCCUUGAGUUUUGAUUUUGAUUCUCGUUAUCUUCUUGGUUAUUUGGAUUCAUUUGUGACUGAUUCGUGUUUGUGUGUGUGUUGCUGCUGCUGCUUGCCAUAGCUCAAACUUGCUUUGAUACCAAGUUAAAUUUGCUAUAAAUUGCUUAUGAACAGAAAGCGGAGCAUAAAUCACAAAAGCUUUAUAAAAGAUAACGACUUGAAUAAAUGAUUACAAGCAUAGGUUCAUUUAUACACAGAGAGAAGAAUAAAGAGACAGCUGGCCUAGGGGGUAAGAUUUGUAAAUGAACAAAUAACAACCUGUGAAUAUGACAAAUGUUAGCCAAUCAUUUUCAGCUUCUAGAAACGUAAUCCUUGCAUGCUUAUUUGCUUAGAUUCUUCAGUAGCUCCAUUUUGCCAGCUCAGUAAAUCUUCUGCACAUUCUGGAAACAAAUGAGUGUAGCUGAGAUGGCAUGCCAGCUUGUCAUCAGAGUCAGCUGUUGAAUUCUCACAGUUGCUAUUUUCAACACAUAUUACAAGAAGCAGUACACACCAAUGGUAAAUUGAUUCAUCGUCUUUGAACUUAAGAUAGUAAAAUGAAAGAAACACAACGGAGGGUUAAUGUAAUACAGUAAAGUGAAAACCCUCAGCAUGUAAACUUAACUUCAAAGGACGGAGCACAAGUUUUACAGAAAAGUAGCUCUUAUUCCUGAUGCUGCAAACACAGAGGAGUGUUCUCAAUCUUCUUCAUAACUUGGGAAUUCUGCAAUUAUAGAGCACGACAUUGAGCAUGAACUAAAAAAUAAUAAUAAAUUUAUUUUCUACAAUUUUCAUGUAACCUGACUACCCAAGAUUAAUUUUGUGGUAAUGGAUUGGGUCAUUAAUUCAUAUGUUUUUACAGUCAUCACUUUAGAAAAAAAACUAAUUUCUCAAUGUGAAAUAACCCAUAAAAAGUAUUCUCAUUUAAAAACUAAAUUUGACGGACCCCUCGAUUAAAGCAGGGCAAAAAAAAAAAAGAGAUCUGAAGGCUUUCCACAUGAAAAUGUUGUCACUUUGAAUGAUAUUUUCAAAGGAUUUCAUUCUAAAAAUUAAAUACCUUAUUCUUCAAAUUGACAGCUCACCAAGUACUAAAGGCGUAUGAGAUCAGUACUGCGACGAGUAAGGAGACGAACCCUCCAACAGCUGAAAAUAAAAUUUGCAUUCAUCAAUUUAAAUUAAAAUUCAUAUUAUGAAAUCAAAACUAAUGAUUAAUGAAUUUUCAAGGAAUUUAAUAAGAUUCUCAUAUAAAAACGGGAUAUAAAAUUCUCUCAUCAAUAACAAAUAUUCUAAGUUACUCGUACCUUUUCUUUCUGUAAUUGUUGUAUGGUUGUGUUAAGGUCAUUAUUAGACCAACGCAGUUUGUCCUCACUCCUUCCGUACCAGACGUUUACUCUCGGAGGCGUGGUUGAUUCUCCUUUGGUGAAAAUCUUCAUCUUGGGACAACCAAUCACCGACAAAUCUUGCAAAGAUGGGAAUUUGAAGGUGUAAUUGGCAGAGGAGAAGCUUGUGAGACUAUCUAAAUCAUACAGGGACAAUGUAAUCAAUUUGCUGAAAACAAUCUCUUCUUUUAUAUUUGCUGUUUCAUAUUCGUCACAUACUACGACUUCUGUCAUUGCUGUGCAUCCAAAUACCUUCAAUGAUAAGAGUCGCUCCAGACUUUUUGCUGUGGAGCAUGUUCCUAAGUUCAUCAAUUUCUUGCAAGCAAAAGCUUGCAGGCGUGUGAGAUUCCGGAAAGAUACCGAUGAUGAUGGCAAUAGACUUAACAGAUUUUGACAGUGAUAUGCUCUUAUAAUUUCAAGAUGUUGAAAAAUGAAGUUCAGCUGUUUGGAGUCAUGUUUCCACAGUUGCUGCAGACGAUUUAGUCUGGUCAGGUCUAACAUUUUUAUCAGUGCCAACUUCCUCCCAUGUUUCUCCAAAUAUCCUUCAUUUGAAAAUACCACUUCAUACGAACAAUCCGACAGGAAGAGAAGUUCCAGAUUGUUAAACCUCUCAAGUAAACCAAGUUGAAAGCAAGCUAAGUCAUCAUCCCCAACCUGUUGUACUUUAAGACUGCCAAAGAGGUGUUGUGGGAAAUCGCCUUGCAAAAUCAUCGUGAUGUCUUUUCCACUUAAUGCCAGUUCCUCCAAGUUGGGUAAGAUCUGAUCAUCAUCGAGCUCAAAUUAUUAACUCAGCACAUUGAUCCAUAAUUCAAGACUGGCAAAAUUCAUUGUGUAAUCAAAGUUUUCAAUGAUUAUAUAUAUAUAUAUAUAUAUAUAUAUGUAUGUAUGUAUGUAUGUAUAUUUCUUCUCUAGUGCGGACGUUCUCAUUUUCUUUUUCAUGCGGACCAGUUUUUAGACCCCAUGAUUUAAAAGAGUUAGUUUUUAACUCUCUAAAACCGCAUGACUUCAUAAUUCAUUUAAAAAUAACUCUUUUAAACCGCACGGUUUAAAAGCGUGUCUAUAUUAAAAAAAAUGCGAACCCCCACACUUGAAAAUGAUUAUAUAGACAUACACGCUCUUAAACCGUGGGACUUGAAAGCUUCUCCGCAUGAAAAAAGGAAAAAAUGAGAGCAUUUCCACUAGAAAAAAACUCCAUAUAGGUAUUUAUUAAACUUCCUAAUCUGUGAGUGAGGAACAACAAAGAUAAUUGAUAAAAAAAAAUCUAAAAUUUGGUUUCAUACCUUCUUGAACGAGAGCAGGGGUUGUUGUGCCGGAAUACCAAAUUGAUCAUUCUCGUUAUUCUGGGACAACGUUAUUUUAUCACAAUUACAGGCCUCCAAUUUUUUUAGUGCUGGCCAUUCUGAAGUAUGCAUUCCAGGGUAUAAACAUCUGAGUUCUGGUAGACCUUCGAGAUUCAGAGUGGUCACUUGUGGAAAGACAAAAUAUGGGGUCACUUGAUAUGCUCUGUCUUUGGAGAUGAUCUCUUGUAAACCCAUACAUAUCCGUAUCUCCAGGUGUUGGAGGUGCUUAAGGCUUUGGAUCAUAGAAGCUGAAAAUAUGUAUUUUAAUUUGUCACAGCCCCACACUAUCAAUCGUGUCAAACUUUGAAAGCAAGUAAUCAUGGCCGUAAGUUGAUUGUCAUGCCAAAUCUCGUCGACAUUAAUAGCAUUCAGCUCCAAAGCCUCCAAAUUUGGCAACACUACCUAAAGAUAAUUUUCUCUUUAGAUCCAAUAUCCGUAUGAAAAGCACUUGUUUUGACACAAUAUCCAUAUGAGAAGCACUUAAUUAAGAGCUUAAUUAGCGAGUGUAUGAGACUCUUUUUUUUUUCAAAUGCGGGUGCAUGAUAGAACUGAAAAAAAAAAAAAAAAGAAGCAUUAGCCUACGUACCUUCUCGUUGAAAAGCAGAGUUGACGUUUUCGAACUGAUCUCGUUGGAACUGGCUGUCAAUUCCUCUUGCGACUCUUGUCUGUUUGGUGAUGUGGAAGGAGUCUUCACUUCACCGCAAAACCUUGUAACCUUUGGAAGCUUUCCCAGACUCAAAGAUCUUAAUUGACCAAACUCUAUCUUCUCAUCAACAUCAAAAUCAGCUUCUCCUCCAGUUGCAAAAAUCUCUUCCAUGCCGCUGCAAUUGAUAACUGCAAUCCUCUCCAGUCUUGGAAGGCAUUUUGUACUACUAGAGAGCCAGAAGAUAUUACUCAACUCAUCACAAUUUUCUACUUUUAUGGUUUUGAGUUCAUUGAAGGACUCUAUUUUGAGUCGAUCAAUACAUAUCCUCUCCGUAUUGAUCAAAUUGUGAAGAGUAAGGGACUCCAAAAGAGGAAAGGCGACACAAGGUUCUCUCUUCAUUGAAUCGACGAUACACAGGAUGUCUGGAUUAUUUUGAACAUGGAGAUGCUUCAAUUGUGAAAAUCCCUCAGUGUCCAAUUCUAAAACAACAUUCUUGAUUCCUUGCAACUUAUCCAAACAUAAGUAUUCAACGUUAUUUAUUCCCUGCAACUUCUUGGAGGAAAUGGCCAUAGAAUCAAGCUUGAGCUUCAAUGUUCUUAAACUCUCAAGAUUACUGAUCAUAAACUGCGGCCGACUUUGAAACCAGUCUUUCCAAAUAACCUUGGUAGAGUCGAAAGAUCCAUCUCCUAUUGAUAUAUCAAACCUUUCCAGCUUUUUGGUAAAAAAGCCAUCUGGUAAAAUGCUAUCAUCUUUAACAUCUAUUUUUAAGGCGGUCAGUCGCUGCAAAUGCAUCAAUUCAUCGAGGCUGGCAUUACUUCUUUCACAGUUGGCUUUUCUCACUUCCCAUUCAAUAGAGCAGUUACUCAUAUACAGUUCUUCCAAUCGAGUGAAGCUUGAUAAGAUAUUGGGCACAAUAAAUUUUAGUUGCAAGCAAUCUGUUAAAUCUAGCAUCCUUAACUUAGUCAGUUGACCUAGUUCGUCAUGCAACCGUACAAUAUCAGACUUUAAAAAGCUAAGGAUUUCUAGAUUCUUCAACUUUCCAACUAUGGCUAUGUCUCCCAACAUGCUUUGAUCAAGACAGAGUGUUUGAAGAUUUGCUAGAAGACCGAUUGAUGAUGGCAAUGAAAAUAAUCGCACUCUUGUCAAAUCUACGACUCGAAGCUUUUUCAUCCCGUUGAAAAAGUUGUCAGGAAUAUUGACCUCGACAAAAGAGUCUUCGGGAUCAAUAUGUAAAAAUUCAAGUUCCUCGGAAACUUCAUGAAUGCUACUACUUAGUAAAGAGAUUGCAUAGCAUUUUUUAAGUGCAUCCUCAUCUGGCCACUCCCACGCAGCGUCAUUUCUCACCAAGAAAGCAUGCUGGUCUCGACAUGCAAUUGAUAUGGCAACAUCGCAGACAACAUCAUGCAUAGAGAAUUGUUCAGUACUAUCACCCUCAAGCAACAAACAACAGUCUCUAAGUUCAUGGACCAGUGCAUAUAAUUUGUUUCGUGCAUCUUCCAUCUUAUUGACUCCAUGAAAUAUGCCUAAACCCAUAGAGUAUUUAAGCAAGUCUAAAAGACAAAAACUGUUGCCUAUUAGACUGCAGAGCAGAAAAAUUUUCUUGAGUUGCUCACCUUUUAAAUACUUGAAACUCAGUUCAAUACUUGAAUAAGUCUCUGAAGGCACACCUUCGAAGUUUACCACUGAAGGCGUUUGGAGUUCUCGCAAGGCAUUCUUCCACUCAUGCAGACUCUUGUUUCUCAGUGCCCUUGCUACUGUAGUCAGGGCAAUGGGCAAACCUCCACAUGCCUGGUCUACAUUAAUUGCUGUAGACUUGAACUUACAUUUUUCAACAUCAUCACCAUUCAUUAUCUUAAACAAUCUCCAAGCUUCUUCUUCAUUUAGAUUGCCAAUCAAGAAGUUAUCUUUGGAGCCCAUACUUAAUAGUACAUUAUUGUCUCUUGCUGUCAGCAGUAGUCUACAUCCUUUAUGAUCAUUUCCGAAGGGAAUUCCAACCGUCUCCAAAUCAACAUGUUUCCAGAUAUUAUCUAGAAUCACAAGAAUCUUAUUCUCAUUCUUCAGUCGUUCAUACAGCCUGCUAGCUCUUCUAUAUUCAGCUUCAUCGGACAACUCCAGACCUAACUUCUCUGCAAUUUCCCCUUGAAUCUUUUUUAUCUCUGGAGUUUAUGAAACCUCUGAUAAAACCACCCGAUAAAACAGCUUCUUUUCCCUGGCUUGCCUAGCAAACUCCUUCACCAGUGUGGUCUUUCCAAUGCCACCUAUGCCGUACACCCCAAUAAUGCUGACAUUCGCCUCCGUCAAUGCAUUUUUUAUAGACUACAAAGUAGAAAGUCUUGAUUUGAAGGCCUCGUAACCAUUGCUAGACUUAAGCCGUAUCUGCUCCCGAAUGGUACGGUGGGAAACAGUAUCAAACUUCUUAACUUCUUCUCCAAGUUCAAUAAUGGCCUUCACCUCCGUCUCUGCUUUCUUGCUAAGCUGAUAGCGACUCUUCCAAAUAGGACUCAAGCCCUUGACACAGCGCUUAUUCGUUGACUCCUCAUCUUCAAUGAAUUUGGCUGCCCGCAAUGAUGCCGUUCGCACUUCGCACUAACCAGCCACUUUUCAACCUUCUCUUCAAUCUCUUCCCCUUUUUCUUUCGCCUCUGAAACUCUGCGCUGAAUGCUCGUACGUUCAACCUUCAACUUCUCCAUUUCCGCCUUGAUAUUCUCAAAGUUGGCAUUGUAGUUCCGCUUUCGCAAAUAAACAAGUUGGCGUGCAGUUGGAGGAGCCAAGCAUUUUACAAGUUCCAAGACGAUAGUCACAAUGAUUUCCAGCAUCUCGAAGCCUGACAAAAACGUAGAAGCGAAGAAGGCCAAAGGAAAGUAAAAACAAAGAGACAGCGAUAGGACAAGCAAUUGUGUUUUUCAGAUGAGAUGAAGGAAACAAGAAAAGGGUUUCUAUCACGACGUAAAGAGCUAAAAGAGCUGAUGGGUACAGAAUAAGAAAUGAGACUGAGGAGUGAGCAAAGCUAAAUAAUAACAGAACAAGAACAAUGACGAAUAGAAUAAACAGUAGCAAAGAGCCAUUUAGAUGAUUAGAAUGAAACUAAGCGACUGGAAAGAGUGGAUGGUAGACUAAACAGAAAGUGAUUGAUUAUUUUAGGAGGCCAAUUAACGUAAUGACAGAUCCGGUUUCGAUGUUUGUAAUUUGAGUAUGAGGUAAAUCGAUUCUUUGUCGAGCCAGUCAAAUACAAAGGCAAAUUAGUAAAACACGAGCCAGCAACUUUUACUCACACAAAAGCCAAUAAUAUAGCAUUAUCUCUAGCUCUGUAUUUUUCAAAAAAAAAUUAUUCAAAAGAUGUCUGUCAUUAAUUCUUCAAUGAUUAAAAUUAUAAUUUUUGUUUAAUAUAUAUAACGUAAAAUUUUAAAAGAAUCAGACAUGCAUUAGGGUAAAAAUAAAAAAUAUGGAGGUAGCUUUUAACUAAGUAAUUGGCUCAACUAUGGAUCAGUGUGACAUUUUAGUAUUAAGCAAACGGAACUUUUUUUAAAUUAAAUUAAUCUCAAAGUGAUAGGCUUCUCAUGAAUCAUGUAAUGUUGUCGUUUUUAAAGACUUGACAUUUUGGGGUAAUCAGAAUUAACAAUGCACAUCACUUGUUUGUCACAAUGUCCAAAUAAAUAAUUUUUAAAAAAAGUUAUUUUCAUUCUUUCUUUUCAGGUAUCCUAAUUCCUUUCGCAGUUUGAUUCCUCUUUUCCUGAAUUUUGUUCCUUCCAUUAAACUAAUAAUUUAUUUAAGGAUAGUUAAGCAUCAGCCCCCAAUUGUUCAGUAUUUCACACAGCGCACCCACAUCUUUUGACCAUGUGCACCUCCCCCUAUUUCUAUUAAAAAAUCAACUAAUCUAACUAUUUAGGCUGUUAUAAAUUUAAAAGACUAUACUACCCCUAUUUUGAAAUGAAUUGGGUAUAUAAGUACUAAAAUACCCUUACAACUAAUAAAAUUUAAAUCAAAAAGUAAAAAUUAAUUAUAAUAUUUUUAAAAUUAUAUGGAAACAAUUUUUUUCCGGAUUAGGAACCCAAGAUUAUAAUCUAGUCAAUUACAAAAUCAAAGGCAAAGCAUGAUUCCAAUGUGAAAGAAAAAAAUCAAACACACAUUCAUCAGUACAUUACAAAAUAAGUCCAAUAAUCCCACCAAAAUAAAUAAAACCCAAUAGAAAGAAACCCUAAACUAAUGAUACCAAAAUCCCUGAGAGCAAAUUUCAUUGUAAAAUUCUACUACAAAAUAAAUUCAUACUAAGAAAAUUCGAUAAAAAGUAUUUUUAUUAAUUAAUUAACAAUUAGUUUCAUCAUUAGACGGUACUAUGAUAGUUUUGUCACUAUGUUUGUUACCAUCUCUCAAAAAAAAAAUAAUUAUUUUUUACAUGUCGAAUUGUGUAACAACGAUUUAAUGAAAAAUUAGAAAACAGCACGACAUCUCGUGGCUUAACAUGGUAAUCAUGAAUAUCCCUUAUUUUUAAAAAAUGAACAUACAAACUCUUUUUUAAUGCAUGUAGACCUUUUUUUGUAUUUAAAAAUAGUUACACAGAUCCUGAAUUGGUGUGUUCCUCAAUAAAUUUUCAUGAUCCUUUUUUAAAAUAAGGGAUUUUUGUGAUUAUUUUGCCACGUCCAAGGAUGCCGCUGUUCUUGUCACCAAAAAUUAUUCUCAUAAGAGUAAUGAUUAAUUGGACGUCAGCAAUGAGGGCACGUAAUGAAAAAUUUUUGUUUUGCAUGGGAUCCAAUAAUUUUAAUUAACAUGGUGGUGACAGACCCAGCUGGAAAAUCAACUGAUUUUAGAAUUCUGUUGAAAAUUCUUUAAAUGAUCACUAUAUCUCUAGUUCGAUUAUAUCCUUAAGCUCAUUGAUUCUUUUGUAUUGAUUUUGUUACUUCUUUUCUAAGUACUUAUAUUUAAGCAUUGAAAUAGGAUUGAAUAGACAAAGACGAUUACUUGAGCUGAAAAUUUUUCAAGUAUGGCGGAGGGGAAAGUGAGAGAGCCGCUAUUGAAGAAGAAAUAUUAUAAGAACUGCUCAGGCUGUAAGGUUGAUAAUUUAAGUCGGAACGAGGCUUACCAAUUCGUAAGCUUUUAAUUAUUUGGAUUGUUGUGCUUGCAACUGGUAAAUUUUUCAACUUCAACUCGAUAUAAUGAUUUUGGAGAGAACCAUUUACAAUGAUUUUCAAUUCUUUUGUGAUUUUUUUUUUCCGUUUUGCCGGUCGCAUCUUUCUUUCCCUUCCUUUAUUUUAUGGUGAGUGGAUUAUUAUUGCCUUCAGCGUAGUGGUUAUUAGUAAGAAAAUUUAUAUUUUCCUAUCAUGCUUGGUGAUUUUCUGAGAAAUAUAAGAAAAGACAAGUUUUAUAUGUCAAAUAAUUCAUUGCUUUUUCACAGCAGUCAUUUAUGAUUUCUUUUCAGUUUAGGGAUUUUCACAUUGCGAAAAAGGAUCAAGAUAUUGGAUUCUAUGCUGGUUACGUGGGUGAGUUAUUCUAUGUUUUUUUAUUGUAUUUAAUAAAUGACACACAGUAUGGAGUCUGUCUCGGGUACGAAUGUCCGCACCUUAUAAAGUGCUGACUCACGCCUUUACAACUCUGGGAAGACAUUCUACCGAGACUUUACAUCACUGUAAACGCACUGUACAAGAGCUUUACAAUGCGGACCCGCGUCUUUACAACUUUAAAGGGCCAAGUCCAUGCUUUAAAAAGUACAUAUGUUCGCACCUGGAAACGAUUUACAUAUGUAUGUAUAUAUGUAUAUAUGUGUGUAUGUGUGUAUAUAUAUGUAUGUAUGUAUGUGUGUGUGUGUGUGUAUGUAUGUACGACCAAUAAAACAGUUCAAAUUCCUCAAGAAGUUAUCCUAACAAACAUCUUAAUACCUUGAUGAAAUUGAAGGGUCUUCAUACAUGCUUGGCAGAGCUCUAACAUCUGUUUUGUGGGGAAUGGUGGCUGACCACCGUGGUCGAAAGCCUGUAAUAAUAAUAGGAAGCAUCACAGUGUUAGUGACUUCUAUUUUCAUAUGAUCAAGCUUGAAAUUGAUGAUACUUCGGCAAUUUCUGGAUUUCUUGUCUGUCUUAAAAUGCUCACAGGGUUAUUUUUAACACUCUUUUUGGGCUUAGUGUGAAUUUCUGGAUGGCCAUAGCUACAAGGUUUCUCCUUGGGGCUUUGAAUGGUUUCCUUGGACCAAUAAAGGUAUUGAUUGGGGGUAUUUGUUGAUAAUUCCAAUUUAAUUCCUGCAAAUAAUUGUGCUCAAACUUCUCUUACACCACGAGGCAUAUGCAUGUGAAAUAUUGUGCGAUCAGCACCAAACUUAUUACGAAACUAAAAAUGUUACUUGUUUUCUGUACUUGCUUUCGCAUGCAUCACCCCCACAAAACUGCUUGACGAUUGUCCUCAUUUUGAACUUACUAUAGGUUUCAGUCUCCUUGUUUUUCAACUUACUCUGUACCCUUAAGGAUUAUUGGGCCAAUAAUCAUAACACGAAUUGCAGGGGGUAAAAUUUUGAGCACCUCAUGCGGCAUUUGGACCAUUUGAUAGUUUGUUUGAAACAUAUCUGUUUAUAAAAUACUUUUCUUCAUGGUUUUGGUCCCAUAACUUUCUAUGUAUGUACAGGUUUUAUCGAUACCGCUUUUGACAAGUUACACUUACAUAGCAAUGUUAUCGGGUUCAGCCUUGCCUUUUUGAUAAACUGUGCUUCUGUGAUGAAGAAUGUUUUAUCUGUAAGUGGAUAUCCUAAUCAUUGAUCCAUAUACUUAGGUUAUAUUAUCCACCAGCAAGUAUGUAUAAAUUAUUUUAUGUCUUAUUUAUUAGAAUUGUUGUAAUUCUUUUUUACUUUUCCUGAAUUGUAACAUCAGGUGUCUAUAAUAACUGGAUUGUUCCUUCUGCAAAACAGAGCAGUGGUAAAUAUAUUUUCUUUUGUUUGUUUAGUACAUUUCCAUGCUUUCAGCUUUUUCAAAUUUUGUAUGUGCCAAAGUUUAAAUUAAUUGGUUGGUUUAUGGUAUAAUAACAGGUACGAUAAUUUACUAAUGAAAUUUCUCACUAGUUUGUGAAUUACUUGGUGCUAAUCAGAUUAGUUAGCUGCUUAAACUAAAGUGCAGGUAACCAGGUGAUUUUUUUCAUCCUGAAUUCGGUGGAGGCACUUGGAGUAAUAUUGACAUUCAAACCGUUUCUAACUCAACGUGCCCCGUGAGUGGAGAAAAGAUGCGUCUGUUGAAAUAUUCAAAUAUAUGUCAAGCAAAUUAAAGCUUUCAAAAUCUUUCAACAAUUUGAUUGUUUGAUGUGGUUGCCACUUGCCAUAUUUUGUGUUACUUUUCUAAAGGCUUAAAUAUGAAAAUGGUUGUUGGUGCUCACGCCAAUUGAUUGCUGGUAACAUUAAUUGUGCAGUACUUGUCAGAACUACCACAAUUUAUCUUCACAAUGAUGCUAGAUAGAAAGAAAAUUUCAUGUUAAGUAAAAUAUUGAAGCCAUAAAGAGUCUUAUUCCAGAGCCUUAUUAAGUACUGAGUUUUCUGCCAUGCUUUCAAAGUUACAAAUUCGAAGCUUGGGAUUCUGUAACAAUGGAGGAUAAAAAUUAUAUAAGAAUAUUAUUUUGUACAAUUUUCAUACCCAGACAGAAGCGAGCAUUAUUUUUUGAUCAUAACUCAGAUCAAAAGACCUUCAAUGAUGUAUAAUAUGCACAAAAAGCUAGCUCAGAACCAGACAUUAGAACUUAUGAUGAAAGGGAAACAUAGAUGUUGAGAUUGAAAACAUAGAGAAAUUUUUUUAAAAAGUCUGAAAUUUUAUUACUAGAAGUUUGAAUAACAAAAUUAGGGUAUUGGACCCUUUUUAUACAAAUUCUAAAUAUUAUGUAUUUAUCAAAACAGGCAAACUUGAAAUAUUAUUACAUAAUAACGUUCUCCUAACUGAAAUAAGAAAAAUAAAAUAAAUCAUACUUGAAAUCUUAUAUUUAGAGAAAAACAUAUCGUACUAUGUCGAGAGAGAUGACGACUCCUCCAACAGCAGAAAAUAAAUUCUUUCAUUCAUUAAUUUAAAGUAAAUUUUGUAAAUUUAGGUACUUGCACAUUGAGAUUUGCAAUUUAAUUUGACAGGACUUUUCAUUGAAUAAUGAAAUUAAAAACUAACGAUUAAAGAAUUUUUUAUAUUCUCUAACUCUUGUGGAAAUGUCAGCUGUAAAUAGGACAAUUUCAUGAAUCUUUAUCUGAAAGCGUAAUUGGCAGAGCAGAAACUUGUGAGACUAUCUAAAUUACACAGACUCGAUGUCUUCAAUUUGCUGAAAACAAUCUCUUGUUUUGAAUUUAAAUUUGGUGCUCCGUCUUCUUCUCCGUCACCUAUUACCACCUCUGUCAUUGCCCUGCAUCCAGCUACCUUCAUUGAUACGAGCCGCACUAGACUUUCUGCUGUAGUGGACGGAUGUUACAAUUCCUUGCAAUGGAAAACCAACAGUUCUGUUAGAUUCCCAAAAGAUAUAGAUGAUCAUGGGAAUAGACUUAAAUGCUUGUAAAAUAGUCUUAGAACGUCAAAAUAUUUAAAAUGGAGUCCAGUUUGGAGUUGCUUCAAUGAUUAAGUCUGGACAGGAUUAACCAUUUUAUCAGUGCCUACUUCCCCACUUGUUUCUAGCAGUAUCCGGCUUGAUUUAAGAAUUUCUCUUUGUAUGAACUAUAACCCAGUAGGAGAUAUUACCAAAAAAAAAAAAAAAAAACUUAUUUCAAAUGAUGCACAGGAGAAGAGUUACCUGAAUCUUCAUCAGUAUCCAGACAUUCUACAAUCACAGAGUAGAGAGUUCUAACAGGAAAAACAAAGAAAACAACGUUCUUCUAUACUUCUCAUAAAACUAGUCCAAAUUAGUCCCUUUCUUGGUAUCCAACGUUUUCAAACAAUAUUUCCACAAUAUAGUUUUUCAUAGCGAAGAGUUUUGCUUUGAUGGUUUAAGGAUUUGUUCUGGGCAUAAUGCUCUGAUUAGAUUUUGUUUAUUUUUAAUUUUUUAUCCGAUGAAUGAUUUUCAGCUGUUCUUAAUUAUGUGUUCAUAGGGAAGAGCAUUUGGAAAGAUCAUCAAAAAAAAAAAAAAAAAAUUCCAAAGAAAGAUAGGUGUGAAGCAAACCAAACUAAAUGAACAAACUAAAAUAACAGAACAGCAAUGAUGUUUUCAAGGAAUUAUAAAAUAUGAAGGCUUUUAAUGAAAUUUUAUCAUACAAAGGAUGCAAGGAAUUAUAAAAUUUUAGAAAACAAGGGGAACUCUCAAAAAAAGAAAAAAAGAAAAAAAAUACUCAAAUUAAACUAGACUAGAAGACAUUCAAUGAUGCAAAAUCUGUCCACAAAAGUCUGAACGAAUCAUUAAAAUUGCAUUCCAAAUUUAACAGUAAAGCCGAUUGACCCAUUCUAAAUAAUUCAGAUGAAAUUGCGAAACAAGCCAUGAGAUCAAAUAAAUGAAAUAAAAAUUAAUUACCAGCUGAGGCUUUCUUCUAAAAAUUCACAACUCCCAAGUCAUAAGAAGCCUAUGAAAUUAGUAAUGGGUAGAGAUCGCCGACUGCACCGCCAACAGCUGAAAAUAAAAUUCUUAUUCAUCAAUUUAAACUUUUACUUUAUAACAAAUAUCUUAUCUAUAUUUUAUUAAAAUAAAAAUUUUGUAAAAUGUUUCCAUGGGAGAUAGAGAGUACUAUGUAUAUCCGUACCUUUUCAGCAUGUAAUUGUUGUAUGGUUGUGUUUAGAUCAUUAUUGGUCCAAAGCAAUCGAUCCUCUGUCUCUCCAUACCAGACAUUUACUCUUGGAGGCGUGAUUGAUUCUCCUGUAGUAAAAAUCUUCAUCUUGGGACAACCAAUCACAUGCAAAUCUUGUAAAGAUGGGUAUUUGAAGGUGUAAUUGGCAGAGCAAAAACUUGUGAGGCUAUCUAAAUCAAACAGUUCCAACGUCUUCAAUUUGCGGAAAACAAUCUCUUCUUUUUCAACUCCAUCUUUGUCAUUUGUUACCACCUCUGUCAUUGCUCUGCAUCCAUAUAUUUCUAUUGCUACGAGUCGCACCAGAGUUUUUGCUGUGGAGGAUGUUACCAAGUGUAUCAAUUCCUUGCAACCGAAAGCUACAAGUUUUGUUAGGUUCCGAAAAGAUACCGAUGAUGAUGGCAAUAGAAUUAACAGACUUUGACAAUGAAUUACUUUUAGAAUUUCAAGAUACUGAAAAAUGGGGCCAAGUUUGGAGUCUUGUUUGCACAGCUGCUCCAGAUGAUAGUGCCAGUACAGCUGUAAUUCUUUUAUCAUUGCCAACUUCCCCGCAUGUUUCUCUAAGCAUCCUUCCAUCGAAAAUAGCUCUUCGUGGGAUGGAAAAAAAAGCAGUGAGAGCAUUUCGAGAUUGUGAAAUCUCUCAAGUACGUUCCAGAUUGGAAAACAAGCUGAGUCAUCUGCAGCAAUCUCUAGCUGUCUAAGACUGCCAAAAAGGUGUUGUGGGAAAUCGGCCUGCAAAAUCAUCUUCACAUCUUUUCCACUUAGUGAUAGUUCCUUCAAGUUGGGUACGAUCUGAUCAUCAUUAAUCAUAAUAACUAAUGAGGUCAAUUGAUGAUCUAUGGUAACACGCAGUGACUUUAUAGUAUUUGUUUUAUAUUAUAUGUUAAAAAAAAUUGAAUUAUUGAUAAAAUUUAUUUUGUAUGUUAAUUUUAGAGGUAAAGCAAGAAAUUAGGGAAAAAUAGUUGAUUUAUAUUGGCUCAAAAUUAUUUUAUUGCACAAUAAUAAAUUACUAAUUUAUUUUGUAAGUUCUUCUAAAUGGAAAGACUGAGGAUUCUUUUAUAAAUGCUAUACCUAAAAAAGUUCAUAUAAUUAUGAAUCUACCAUAUUGAUCCCUUAGUCUAGACUAGCAAAGAUUAUUGUAUAAUAAAAGUUUUUUAAUUUAUUGAGUAUUAAAUGAUUUUUUAUAUGUUAAUUUUAGAGGUAAAAAAGAAAUUAGGGAAAAAAGGUUGAUUUAUACUGACUCGAAAUUAUUUUAUUGCACAAUAAUAAAUUACUAAUUUAUUUUGUAAGUUCUUCUAUAUGGAAAGACUCAAGAUUCUUUUACAAAUGCUAAACCUAAAAAAGUUUAUAUAAUUAUUAAUCUACCACAUUGAUCCGUUAGUCUAGACUAGCAAAGAUUAUUGUAUAAUAAAAGUUUUCAAUUUAUUGAGCAUUAAUUUAUCGAUAUUUUGUCAUAUUUUUCAAAGUUAAAAAUAAGCAAUAGAUAAAAAAUCUAGAAAAUGGCUUCAUACCUUUUCCAAUGGCAAUAGGGGCUGUUGUGCAGGAAUACCAAGUUGAUCAUUCCCAUUAUUCUGCGAUAAAUCUGCAGCGAAUAUCUUUAAUUUGUCACAACCAUACACUACAAGAGUUUCUAGUGCGGGCCAUUCCCAAGUAUGCAUUCCAGGGUACAAAAAUCUAAGUUUUGGUAGAUCAUGGAGCAUCAAAGUGGUGAGCUGUGGAAAGACAAAAUGAGGGAUCACUUGAUCUGCUCUGUUUUCAGAAAUGAUCUCCUGUAAAUCCUCACAGGAGCGUAUUUCUAGGCGUUGGAGCUGCUUAAGGCUUCCGAUCAUAGACGCUGAAAAUAUGUAUUUCAGUUUGUGACACCACCACACAACUAAUCGUGUUAAACUUUGAAAGUGAGGAAACAUGGCCGCCGGAAUUUGAUUGUAGUGCCAAAUCUUGUCGACAUUAAUAUCAGAUAUCUCCAAAGCCUCCAAGUUAGGCAACGCAACCUAAAAAAAUAAGAAUUUCUCGUUAGAUCCAAUAUCCAUAUGGGAAGCACUUGUUGAAAUUUUCUUCUUUGAUUACAAAUUAAUGCAAGUCCGAAUCAAUUUCCAACUGACAGCUGAGAAUGCAUUCUAAUUCAUACUACUUGUUAAGAGCUCAAUUAGUGAGCGCGUGAGAUUCUUUUUAUCCUUUUUUCCAUUUUCUUUCAAAUCUUUAAAUGAUUUAAUUAUUUUCCACGUAUGACAUCAAAACAGAACGCAUGAUAGAAUAAAGUCUGUUAUAUAUAUAUAUAUAUAGAAAAUGUUAGCCUACGCACCUUCUCGUUGAAAAGCAGAGUUGAAAUGUCCAAAGUGAUUUCGCUGGAGCAAUACAUAGUCGUCGAUUCCUCUUGUGACACUUGUCUGUUCGGUGAUGCAGAAGGAGUCUCCACCUCACGGCGGCAAAAACUUGUAACCUCUGGAAGAUUUCCCACACUCAAAGAUCUUAAUUGAGCAAACUCUAUCUUCUCAAUUGCAUUAUCAACUUCUUCCCCAAUUGCAAAAAUCUCUUUCAUCUUGCUGCAAUUAAUAACUGCAAUUCUCUCAAGUCUUGGAAGGCAUUUUGCAGUAGAGAGCCAAAAGAUAUUACUCAACUUAUCACAAUUAUAUGCUUCUACGGUUUUGAGUUCGUUGAAAGACUCUACUUUGAGCCGAUCAACACAUAUCCUCUCCAUGUUGAUCAAAUUGUGAAGGAUAAGUGACUCCAAAAGAGGAAAGGCAUCACAAGCGACCAUCUCCCUUGAAUCGACGAUGCAAAAGAAGUCUGGAUUAUUUUGAACCCAGAGAAUCUUCAAUUGUGAAAAGCCCUCCGUGUCCAAAUUGAAAAGAACAUUCUCGAUGCCUUGCAGCUUGUCCAACCAUAAGCAUUCAACGUUAUUGAUGCCCUGCAAUUUCAUGGAGCAAAUGUCCAUAAAAUCAAGCUUGAGCUUCAAUGCUCUUGAAAUCUUACGAUCUCUGUCGAUCAAAAAGUGCUGCCGACUUUUAAACCAAUUUUGUCCAGCAAUCAUGGGAUGUGUGAAUAACCCAUUUCCAAUAUGUAUUUUGAACCUUUCGAGCUUUCUGGCCAAAAAGCCUUCUGGUAACAUACUCUCAUUUUUUACAUCAAUUUCUAGAGUGGUUAGCCGAGGUAAAUGCAUCAAUUCAUCAAGGCUAGCAUUACUUCUUUUGCUGUUGGCUCUUUCAACCUCCCAUUCAAUGGAGCAAUUACCCAUAUACAAUUCUUCUAAUCGGAUUAAGCUUGAUAUGACAUUUGGGGCAAUAACUUUCAGACGGAAACAGUCUGUUAAAUCUAACAGCCUUAGCUUAGUCAGUUGACCCAGUGCUUUAGGCAACUCUACAAUAUCAGAUUCCAAAAAGCUGAGGAUUUCUAGAUUUUCCAACUUUCCAAUAAUGGCUAUGUCUAUGCCUCCCAAAAUGCUUUGAUUAAGACAGAGUGCCUGAAGAUU
RNAcentral lists this long non-coding RNA (34744 nucleotides) under Citrus x clementina. Its description in RNAcentral is "Citrus clementina (C. clementina) long non-coding RNA (CCLE_LNC002723)". Lineage: Eukaryota; Viridiplantae; Streptophyta; Magnoliopsida; Sapindales; Rutaceae. The record is from RNAcentral.